GGAAUAUUAUGACAAAAACAAAAGCUUCUAACUUUUGUUUAAGCGGUUAAAUUCCGUUUAUAUCCCU
Molecule: transfer RNA, 67 nt
Filed under: Parasesarma affine
Lineage: Eukaryota; Metazoa; Arthropoda; Malacostraca; Decapoda; Sesarmidae
Description: tRNA-Ser
Source: RNAcentral